AAUAAAAAGCUUGAUUUUUUUGCUUGUGAUUUGGUAGAAUAACAUAUUUCAUUUACGAGAUGAUUUAUUUUUAUCCAAAAAAAUAAUUUAAAAGCCGAAUAUAAUAUCUUAUUCUAAAUAUUUGAUCACACUCUUUAUCAAUCAAGCAUACAUAAUUCUUAAUUAAUUUAGAAAAUAUACCAAAUAAGACAUUCAUGCAUCUAAAUAGGACCUAAAAAGCUUGUAAUAUUCAGUAGAGAAGAAUAUCACAUUAGACAAGAAACGUAAUCAAAUAUUCAGAAUAAAAUAUCAUAUUCUAUCUUUAAAUUAUUUUUUUCUUCCGGAAUAAAAUGAGACUAGGGAUGUCAAUGGGUAUGGAUACCCGAAGUUUUAUCCGAAUCCGAACCCGAAUGAAACGGAUAUAUCCGGUGGAUAUGGAUAUCAAAAAUAGAAAACCGACGGAUAUGGAUUCGGAUAUGAAUUUUGAUUGUACCCGACCCGAACCCGAACCCGACCCGAACCCGAAUUUAUUUUGUAUUAUAUAUAAUAUAUAUAUAGAAAAAUUUGAUGUUAUAUUUGAAUUUGUAUUUUAAAAAUUUAGGUUUAAUAUAAUAUAUUUUGAAAUAUUGAAAAAAGAAAUAAUUGUUUCGGGUUCAAAUUUUCGGGUUCGGGUUCGGGUUCGGGUUCGGAUUUCGGAUUUUUGGUCGGGUUCGGGUUUGGAUAUGGAUUUUUAAAAUCCGUCGGGUUCGGGUUCGGGUUCAGAUCUCGGGUUUGGAGUCGGGUUCGGGUUCAGGUUCGGGUUUUUAAAAAUCCGUCCCGAAUCCGACCCGUUG
Molecule: long non-coding RNA, 812 nt
Filed under: Ananas comosus (pineapple)
Lineage: Eukaryota; Viridiplantae; Streptophyta; Magnoliopsida; Poales; Bromeliaceae
Description: long non-coding RNA (ACOM_LNC030862)
Source: RNAcentral